Molecule: long non-coding RNA, 1044 nt
Filed under: Monodelphis domestica (gray short-tailed opossum)
Lineage: Eukaryota; Metazoa; Chordata; Mammalia; Didelphimorphia; Didelphidae
Description: lncRNA (ENSMODG00000046855.1)
Source: RNAcentral
CAAUGUCCAAGGAUACAAUUGGCGGAGCUUCUUUUGUUUUAAAAAACAUGAUAAACAAGUAAAGAAUGUGCGCAAGCAGGAAGAAACUGACCAAAAGUAAAGAUCGAAAAUUUUCUUGUUCAAGAAGCUUGUUGAUAGUUUUUAAUAUUCUCUGUGAAAAAAAUGAUGCAAAGAAGAGUCCAGAACCUCAAUUUAUUUUCUUGUCAAAUAGACAAAGGUGACAGUGAACUGGGGCUUUGUACUUGUAUCUUCUUUGAUCCAGCAGAUGAGGAUGGAAAGGAACCAGGGGUUUUUAUAACUGAAAUUAUUGAAGGAGGUGCAGUUCACAAACUUGGAUGUAUCCGUGUAUUUGACCAGAUUAUUAAAAUAGGUGACAUCAAUCUAAUUGGAUUGGAUGAAGCAGAAAUCGUCUCUACUUUUAAAAAAAUGGACGAUUCUCCUUUCCAGAUUGAAAUUGGCCGCGAACCACCUGAAGUGAAGUCAGAACUUAUCGAACUCCUUGAGUUGUCAGAGCAAAGGAAGAAAUAUUUUAUGGAUUCGCUCAUAGUACAGGAAAAAAUUGGAGAUAUCACUAUUGUGAGAGGACAAGCAAGUAUUUGUAGAAGUCCAAGAGUACCAUGGUUCUGGAUGGCCAGUGACCUGAAAUUUGUUAUUGGGGUACUGAAAAUAUUAAUAGAAGAAGAUCAGGGAUGUAGAAAAGACUUCCAAGCUAUCUUUGAGCAGGCUAACAUUUUUCAAGACAAUUAUAAAGACAUGAACACAUACAAUGUGAAUAUGGAACAGAAACCUGAUGAAUCAGAUAAAGAAGGCACAUUUUUACCAUUGGCCCCAGAAGAAGAAUUUUUACUAGGACAAUUUAAAAUAAAGCCUAAAGAGAUAAAAAAUAAAGAUUUAUCACCAGAGCAAUUAUUAGCCCAAGGGGAAUUCAAUUCAGGUGAGAAAAAUGAGGCUCAGAGAAGAUAUUCAGAUAGUUACCUUCCCAGCUGUAACUUCAUGGCUUCUGGCUCUAAAAUGAAGAACAUAGGUAAGUUCUUCACUUUAUAA